GGAUCUAAUGUUAAAGCAUACGUACCCUUUUGCAGACGAGUCACCUAUUAAGAGUCGAACAUCCUCAAAACCUUUUCCAGACGGUAAGCCGUAAAGUGUCACAGCAACAAGGGAAGUCAGCCUUCUGUAAUUAAGACUUCAAUAAAAGACAGAAAGAUAUGAUUGAUAUAUUAAAUUAGACAUUAUAAAUUAUACCACCCUUUCCUAAAUCUUUAAAAAAUAUAUGUUUGAUUGAAUGAAGACUUCGCUUUAAAGACUAUUCUUCACUCAUUAAAACUGAAUGUUUUCUAGCUUUGAGU
RNAcentral lists this long non-coding RNA (299 nucleotides) under Medicago truncatula (barrel medic). RNAcentral's name for it is "long non-coding RNA (MTRU_LNC005162)". Lineage: Eukaryota; Viridiplantae; Streptophyta; Magnoliopsida; Fabales; Fabaceae. The record is from RNAcentral.